UCGAAUUGCAGCCUGAAUAAUACGACGAUGGAUCAAGAAAAUGUCACAACAAGCCAACAAAGGGGAUGGUACUUCCUAGUUAUCUUCUCAAAAUAUUUGACAGGCAGACUUCAGUGGAAAUCAAAUAUUCACCAACCAGGCAAAAGAAAUCAGAAGUACAGAACCAGAACACACACUAGACAAAAAAGACUUCCACAGAUCUUGAAACUUGUACCAGGUAACUUAGAAGGUCAUCUCAUGCGGCUUGUCGCCAUCCCUGAGGGAGAACCGGGCACCAAGAUAAUUUUUAAGGUCUGGGAC
This 300-nucleotide long non-coding RNA is filed under the name Triticum aestivum (bread wheat). RNAcentral describes it as "long non-coding RNA (TAES_LNC013284)". The record is from RNAcentral. Lineage: Eukaryota; Viridiplantae; Streptophyta; Magnoliopsida; Poales; Poaceae.